This 378-nucleotide ribosomal RNA is filed under the name uncultured organism. Its description in RNAcentral is "bacterial SSU rRNA". It matches the Rfam family "Bacterial small subunit ribosomal RNA", at positions 45 to 433 of the family's 1533-position model. The record is from RNAcentral.
UGCCUAAAACAUGCAAGUCGAACGGAGUAGCAAUACUCAGUGGCGAACGGCGGAGUAAUACAUAAGCAACGUGCCCCGAAGUCUGGGAUAGCGGUUCGAAAGGACCAGUAAUACCGGAUGUGGCCCUCUUAGGACAUCUUAGGAGGAUUAAAUGGUUUUUCGCUUCGGGAGCGGCUUAUGACCUAUCAGCUUGUUGGCGAGGUAACGGCUCACCAAGGCUUUGACGGUUAGCUGAUCUGAGAGGUUGAUCAGCCACACUGGAACUGAGACACGGUCCAGACUCCUACGGGAGGCAGCAGUAGGGAAUAUUGCGCAAUGGAGGAAACUCUGACGCAGCGACGCCGCGUGGGUGAUGAAGGUCUUCGGAUCGUAAAGCCC